CACGUAGGGUGCGAGCGUUGUCCGGAAUUAUUGGGCGUAAAGAGCUCGUAGGCGGUGUGUCGCGUCGGCCGUGAAAACCUGCAGCUUAACUGUGGGCGUGCGGUCGAUACGAGCAUCACUGGAGUUCGGCAGGGGAGACUGGAAUUCCUGGUGUAGCGGUGAAAUGCGCAGAUAUCAGGGGGAACACCGGUGGCGAAGGCGGGUCUCUGGGCCGAUACUGACGCUGAGGAGCGAAAGCGUGGGGAGCGAACAGG
RNAcentral lists this ribosomal RNA (254 nucleotides) under uncultured bacterium. RNAcentral's name for it is "partial 16S ribosomal RNA". It matches the Rfam family "Bacterial small subunit ribosomal RNA", at positions 524 to 776 of the family's 1533-position model. The record is from RNAcentral.